AGCAGCCGCCACGGUAAUACGGAGGGAGCUAGCGUUGUUCGGAAUUACUGGGCGUAAAGCGCGCGUAGGCGGUUACUCAAGUCAGAGGUGAAAGCCCGGGGCUCAACCCCGGAACUGCCUUUGAAACUAGGUGACUAGAAUCUUGGAGAGGUCAGUGGAAUUCCGAGUGUAGAGGUGAAAUUCGUAGAUAUUCGGAAGAACACCAGUGGCGAAGGCGACUGACUGGACAAGUAUUGACGCUGAGGUGCGAAAGCGUGGGGAGCAAACAGGAUUAGAUACCCCUGUAGUCCCUGUCUCUUAUAC
This 303-nucleotide ribosomal RNA is filed under the name uncultured bacterium. Its description in RNAcentral is "partial 16S ribosomal RNA". It matches the Rfam family "Bacterial small subunit ribosomal RNA", at positions 507 to 807 of the family's 1533-position model. The record is from RNAcentral.